GACGAACGCUGGCGGCGUGCUUAACACAUGCAAGUCGAACGGAAAGGCCCUGCUUUUGUGGGGUGCUCGAGUGGCGAACGGGUGAGUAACACGUGAGUAACCUGCCCUUGACUUUGGGAUAACUUCAGGAAACUGGGGCUAAUACCGGAUAGGAGCUCCUGCUGCAUGGUGGGGGUUGGAAAGUUUCGGCGGUUGGGGAUGGACUCGCGGCUUAUCAGCUUGUUGGUGGGGUAGUGGCUUACCAAGGCUUUGACGGGUAGCCGGCCUGAGAGGGUGACCGGGCAAAUUGGGACUGGGAUAAGGCCCAGACUCCUACCGGAGGCAGGAGUGGGGAAUAUUGCACAAUGGGCGGAAGGCUGAUGGAGCAACGCCGCGUGCGGGAAUACGGCCUUCGGGGUGGAAACCGCUUUCGCCUGGGACGAAGGGUGAGUGACGGUAAUGGGUAAAGAAGCACCGGCUAACUACGUG
Molecule: ribosomal RNA, 468 nt
Filed under: uncultured bacterium
Lineage: Bacteria
Description: partial 16S ribosomal RNA
Rfam family: Bacterial small subunit ribosomal RNA
Source: RNAcentral